AACCUGGGUGCAGCAGAAUGGCUCCUGCAAGGAAGGGUGACAUGAAGAAGGGCCGUUCUGCCAUCAGUGAGGUAGUGACCAGGGAACACACCAUCAACCUUCACAAGCACAUCCAUGGAGUGGGUUUCAAGAAGCUUGUCCCUUGGGCACUCAAAGAGAUCUGGAAAUUUGCCAUGAAGGAGUUGGUGACUCAAGAUGUAGGCAUUGACACCAGGCUCAACAAAACUGUCUGGGCCAAAGGAAUAAGGAAUGUCCCAUACCAUAUCCUGGUGAAGUUGUCCAGAAAAUGUAAUGCGGAUGAAGAAUCACCAAACAAGCUCUAUACGUUGGUUACCUGUGUACCUGUCACCACUUUCAAAAAUCUACAAUAUGCUUUGUUAUUUUAA
This is a non-coding RNA of Miniopterus natalensis, 386 nucleotides long. The record is from RefSeq and is a predicted model, not a curated record. NCBI's taxonomy places the organism in Eukaryota, Metazoa, Chordata, Mammalia, Chiroptera, Miniopteridae.